This 498-nucleotide ribosomal RNA is filed under the name uncultured bacterium. RNAcentral's name for it is "bacterial SSU rRNA". It matches the Rfam family "Bacterial small subunit ribosomal RNA", at positions 30 to 518 of the family's 1533-position model. The record is from RNAcentral.
UGAACGCUAGCGGCAGGCCUAACACAUGCAAGUCGCGGGGCAGCACGGGUAGCAAGUACCUGGUGGCGACCGGCGCACGGGUGCGUAACGCGUAUGCAACCUGCCCCCAGUCAGGGGGAAUAGCCCGCCGAAAGGCGGAUUAAUGCCCCAUAGGCCCAGGGCGCCGCAUGGCGCUAUGGGUAAAGCUCCGGCGGAUGGGGAUGGGCAUGCGUGCCAUUAGCGUAGUUGGGGCGGUAACGGCGCACCAAGGCGACGAUGGCUAGGGGGUCUGAGAGGAUGGUCCCCCACACUGGUACUGAGACACGGACCAGACUCCUACGGGAGGCAGCAGUGAGGAAUAUUGGUCAAUGGGCGGAAGCCUGAACCAGCCAUUGCCGCGUGCAGGAUGACGGCCCUACGGGUUGUAAACUGCUUUUCCCCGGGAAGAAUAAGCCCCUCGUGAGGGGUGAUGCCGGUACCGGGGGAAUAAGGAUCGGCUAACUCCGUGCCAGCCGCUGC